UGGGGAAUCUUGCGCAAUGGCCUAACGGCUGACGCAGCGACGCCGCGUGAGGGAUGACGCUCUUCGGAGUGUAAACCUCUUUUGCCUGGAACGAACUAUCGGCAUUCGCCGAUUUGACGGUACCGGGUGAAUAAGCACCGGCUAACUCCGUGCCAGCAGCCGCGGUAAUACGGGGGGUGCGAGCGUUGUCCGGAAUCACUGGGCGUAAAGGGCGCGUAGGUGGCGUGAUAAGGGUGUGGUGAAAGCCCGGGGCUCAACCCCGGGUCGGCCAUGCCGACUGUCAGGCUCGAGUGCUGUAGGGGCAGGCGUAAUUCCGGGUGUAGCGGUGGAAUGCGUAGAGAUCCGGAGGAAGACCGGUGGCGAAGGCGGCCUGCUGGGCAGUUACUGACACUGAUGCGCGACAGCGUGGGGAGCAAACAGGAUUAGAUACCCUGGUAGUCCACGCCGUAAACGAUGGGUACUAGGUGCCUGGGGGAGCGACCCCCUGGGUGCCGGCGCUAACGCAGGAAGUACCCCGCCUGGGGAGUACGGCCGCAAGGCUGA
Molecule: ribosomal RNA, 543 nt
Filed under: uncultured Gemmatimonas sp.
Lineage: Bacteria; Pseudomonadati; Gemmatimonadota; Gemmatimonadia; Gemmatimonadales; Gemmatimonadaceae
Description: bacterial SSU rRNA
Rfam family: Bacterial small subunit ribosomal RNA
Source: RNAcentral